UACGUAGGGUGCGAGCGUUAAUCGGAAUUACUGGGCGUAAAGCGUGCGCAGGCGGUUCGUCGUGUCUGAUGUGAAAGCCCCGGGCUCAACCUGGGAAUGGCAUUGGAAACUGGCGAGCUGGAGUGUGGCAGAGGGGGGUGGAAUUCCGCGUGUAGCAGUGAAAUGCGUAGAGAUGCGGAGGAACACCGAUGGCGAAGGCAGCCCCCUGGGCUAACACUGACGCUCAGGCACGAAAGCGUGGGGAGCAAACAGG
Molecule: ribosomal RNA, 253 nt
Filed under: uncultured bacterium
Lineage: Bacteria
Description: partial 16S ribosomal RNA
Rfam family: Bacterial small subunit ribosomal RNA
Source: RNAcentral